RNAcentral lists this ribosomal RNA (576 nucleotides) under Lacticaseibacillus rhamnosus. RNAcentral describes it as "bacterial SSU rRNA". It matches the Rfam family "Bacterial small subunit ribosomal RNA", at positions 370 to 937 of the family's 1533-position model. Lineage: Bacteria; Bacillati; Bacillota; Bacilli; Lactobacillales; Lactobacillaceae. The record is from RNAcentral.
AAUGGACGCAAGUCUGAUGGAGCAACGCCGCGUGAGUGAAGAAGGCUUUCGGGUCGUAAAACUCUGUUGUUGGAGAAGAAUGGUCGGCAGAGUAACUGUUGUCGGCGUGACGGUAUCCAACCAGAAAGCCACGGCUAACUACGUGCCAGCAGCCGCGGUAAUACGUAGGUGGCAAGCGUUAUCCGGAUUUAUUGGGCGUAAAGCGAGCGCAGGCGGUUUUUUAAGUCUGAUGUGAAAGCCCUCGGCUUAACCGAGGAAGUGCAUCGGAAACUGGGAAACUUGAGUGCAGAAGAGGACAGUGGAACUCCAUGUGUAGCGGUGAAAUGCGUAGAUAUAUGGAAGAACACCAGUGGCGAAGGCGGCUGUCUGGUCUGUAACUGACGCUGAGGCUCGAAAGCAUGGGUAGCGAACAGGAUUAGAUACCCUGGUAGUCCAUGCCGUAAACGAUGAAUGCUAGGUGUUGGAGGGCUUCCGCCCUUCAGUGCCGCAGCUAACGCAUUAAGCAUUCCGCCUGGGGAGUACGACCGCAAGGUUGAAACUCAAAGGAAUUGACGGGGGCCCGCACAAGCGGUGGAG